AAACGACUCUCGGCAACGGAUAUCUCGGCUCUCGCAACGAUGAAGAACGCAGCGAAAUGCGAUACUUGGUGUGAAUUGCAGAAUCCCGUGAACCAUCGAGUCUUUGAACGCAAGUUGCGCCCCAAGCCGUUAGGCCGAGGGCACGUCUGCCUGGGUGUCACGC
RNAcentral lists this ribosomal RNA (163 nucleotides) under Abelmoschus esculentus (okra). RNAcentral's name for it is "5.8S ribosomal RNA". It matches the Rfam family "5.8S ribosomal RNA". Rfam says of the family: 5.8S ribosomal RNA (5.8S rRNA) is a component of the large subunit of the eukaryotic ribosome. It is transcribed by RNA polymerase I as part of the 45S precursor that also contains 18S and 28S rRNA. Functionally, it is thought that 5.8S rRNA may be involved in ribosome translocation. Lineage: Eukaryota; Viridiplantae; Streptophyta; Magnoliopsida; Malvales; Malvaceae. The record is from RNAcentral.